UAAUGACUAAACCCGGUCCGGCCCGGCCUAACUAAUCUGAUCCUCGAAAAUCGAAAACGCCACUGCCGGGCAGUGAGAUUUUACACCGUAUGUUUCGCGUUCCGGCAGCCGUACAAGGUCUUAUGAGACGGCACAUUUAUUCACCACUUAAUAGCUACUAACAUUGCUCCUGCUGAUACAGCUAUCUCUAAUAUUCCUUGUGGCCCUGUCAAGCUCUUCACUACCAGGUGUGUUUUAGCAGAGCUGAAAAGACUCGGGAAAUCUUAUACUGAAUCUCUUCAGGCAGCUAACAGGCUUAUGAUUGCAAGGUGUGAUCAUGAACAAAUGAAGAGUGCAGAGGGUUGCAUUGUGGAGAUUAUUGGAGAAUAUAACCCUGACCACUUCCUUGUUGGUACCCAGGACACUGACAUGCGGAAGAAGUUCCAGGAGAUUGGCAGCUUAGCUUCUGCUGUUUUCAAUUGACCAGCUAUCAUAUUGGAACAGGCCCGCGCAGUAGCCAGGUUAGCUGGUGAAAAUAAUUGGUCCCAGGUGUCCCUCUCAUAUUUGGUCUGAGAAAUGCCCUCUUUCUUGAGCCACCAUCUGCAUUUCAGCAGCAGCUUGCCAAAAAUUCUGAAGAACAGUCACAUAUGUCCGAAUUUGAAGCUAUGUUCUUAAAAAAGAGGACUAAGAACUUGUUGGAAAUUCAGGAAACUGGUGGUUAUUCUGAUGAAAAGAGAUCCAAAAAUGAAAAUUUGGAAAUAGAGCCUAAGAGAUAUACUGCAAGAAAGGGAAUGAAUGUCAAGGAUAGACCUCAAAUCAAGUGAAAGAGAGCUAAGUUAUGUUGCCCGCUUCAAGCUUGUUUAUUAUCAACAUUUCUAAUCCAUAAGAAGAACUGCUUGAAGGAGUCUAUAGGUUCUAAAUCCACUUUCAGUCCAGAAGAAAAAGAAUUGUCAAAACUCGAAUUCCAUUUCCGGGAAGGGUUUUGUUUUGUGCAAAAAAAUGAGUGAGGAACACGAAGACCAAGAACAAGUGUUGUUUUUAGAGGAGGGAAAGAAGAAAAAGUUAAAGAAUGAAGCAGAAAAGGCUCAAAAGCAUGGUGUUCGUUACAUAAGUAGAGUUCCUCCUGGUGAGAAGAAGCGGUCACAAUUCUAUUAUGAUCAUUGGAAUAUCAAGUAUCUAAGUAAAUUCAAAUGGGAUAAUCUUACGGACAAAAUUGCUUACGAGAAAGUUAUUCGAGAACAAAAAUUAGCGUUAGAAAUUUCUGCUGCAAAGAGGGAGCGGGAUUUCUAUCUCAAAAAAGUUGACCAGUCUUGUGCUUUAAGCUCUAUUGAAGAACGAAUGAAGAAGGACUACAAUACUCAAGUUCCUUAUAGGCCAGUUUAAGUAUGUUUGGCACAAUAGUUGGGCAGUAUGGCUAGCUUAGAAUCAGUUGAAGCCAGAUAUUUUCAUUGUGAAUCUGAAAUUUGUUUGUAGGCUCCUUUUGUUUUGUAAGAGUUAGCCUCCUUGCCUCAGUAGCAUGACACUUUCAUGAUGAGUUAUGGUAUGGACACAGCUGAGACGCAAUGCCAUGCGUCAACUCCUUCUAUAUGGUUGAAAUUAAUUAUGUCAUUGAAAUUUGAUUAAAAGAAGAAGCAAAAGGCCCAACAAGAAACCAACGGUUUUCCAACAAUUCUCACAAAAAAAACCAAUUGCUGAAAGAGAGAGAAGCAAACCUCAACUCUCUAAAGAUGUCCUGGCAGGAAUGAGUCGUUAUUUGUAGGUAACAACUUUCAUCACCUAAUCUAUUCCUUGGAUCUAAGUUUUGCUGCUGCAUGCGGGUAUUUGGUGGUUCAUAGUGAUGGGUUGCGAGCAUGUCACUUUAUGCUCAAGACGAGGAGCUUAUGUGGUAACAUUUAUUGCUUUGCUCUCCCAUAUGCAUGCGAUGCAUUUUGAUGCGUGCAAAGCUCACAAUUUUGAUACUGUUUUUAACAUUUGAUGAUUUGAUCAAAAUGAAGUAACUCAUCAACAAUAGUCUUGUAAGAUCAUAUGGGCAACCUGUGUAUUUUACAACCAUCUAUCUGUUUUAAGAUCAUUAUUUUGCUCAUGGAGUGCCUGCCGGUGGUGUGCUCUUUCAGCCUUUACAGGGCACCCAGGCUUUUGUAAAUUUGGAUGCAAGAUAUUGGUAAUAAGGCAGCGUGCCGUCAGUGAAUAGAUGAUUCCCCCGAACCAGGCUGCAAUCAUCUACACGUUCAAUUGCAUCAGUUGCUUGGUGCAGAAUCUAUUUGAGGUCAAGGAUCUCUCUCUAGCGUAUGCUGACUGUAUGGAGGAAGCCCCAUGUCUCACGGCAUCUUUGUAAAUCUAAAGGAGAAGAGUCACUCCGGUCUAUGUUUGUACCCAUAAUUGGAUUCAAAUACCUUUGACCUCAAAUGCACCGAGGCGUGCCAGCUGCUUUUGUAUUAAAAGAAAUUUACCCUUUACAUUCCCGAACUAUUUUUUUAGGAGAUCAAUAGCAGUUGAAGCAACGAUUCACUUCCGUAA
Molecule: RNA transcript, 2496 nt
Organism: Populus nigra (black poplar)
Lineage: Eukaryota; Viridiplantae; Streptophyta; Magnoliopsida; Malpighiales; Salicaceae
Exons: 12
Source: RefSeq, a predicted model, not a curated record